This 206-nucleotide ribosomal RNA is filed under the name uncultured bacterium. Its description in RNAcentral is "partial 16S ribosomal RNA". It matches the Rfam family "Bacterial small subunit ribosomal RNA", at positions 568 to 774 of the family's 1533-position model. The record is from RNAcentral.
UGCGUAGGUGGUUUCUUAAGUCAGAGGUGAAAGGCUACGGCUCAACCGUAGUAAGCCUUUGAAACUGGGAAACUUGAGUGCAGGAGAGGAGAGUGGAAUUCCUAGUGUAGCGGUGAAAUGCGUAGAUAUUAGGAGGAACACCAGUUGCGAAGGCGGCUCUCUGGACUGUAACUGACAUUGAGGCACGAAAGCGUGGGGAGCAAACA